Molecule: transfer RNA, 72 nt
Filed under: Camelus bactrianus (Bactrian camel)
Lineage: Eukaryota; Metazoa; Chordata; Mammalia; Artiodactyla; Camelidae
Also listed under: 2 other names
Rfam family: tRNA
About the family: Transfer RNA (tRNA) molecules are approximately 80 nucleotides in length. Their secondary structure includes four short double-helical elements and three loops (D, anti-codon, and T loops).
Source: Rfam by way of RNAcentral
AAGGGUAUAGCUCAGUGGUAGAGUGCAUGCCUAGCAUGCAUAAGGUUCUGGGUUCAAUCCCCAGUACCUCUG